Molecule: ribosomal RNA, 255 nt
Filed under: uncultured bacterium
Lineage: Bacteria
Description: partial 16S ribosomal RNA
Rfam family: Bacterial small subunit ribosomal RNA
Source: RNAcentral
UACGUAGGGGGCAAGCGUUUGUCCGGAAUUAUUGGGCGUAAAGAGCUCGUAGGCGGUCUGUCGCGUCUGCUGUGAAAACUCAGGGCUUAACCCUGAGCUUGCAGUGGGUACGGGCAGACUAGAGUGCGGUAGGGGGAGACUGGAAUUCCUGGUGUAGCGGUGAAAUGCGCAGAUAUCAGGAGGAACACCGGUGGCGAAGGCGGGUCUCUGGGCCGUAACUGACGCUGAGGAGCGAAAGCAUGGGGAGCGAACAGG